AUUGAACGCUGGCGGAAUGCUUUACACAUGCAAGUCGAACGGCAGCACGGACUUCGGUCUGGUGGCGAGUGGCGAACGGGUGAGUAAUACAUCGGAACGUGCCCGGACGUGGGGGAUAACUACUCGAAAGAGUGGCUAAUACCGCAUACGAUCCAAGGAUGAAAGCGGGGGAUCGCAAGACCUCGCGCGUUUGGAGCGGCCGAUGGCAGAUUAGGUAGUUGGUGAGGUAAAGGCUUACCAAGCCUGCGAUCCGUAGCUGGUCUGAGAGGAUGAUCAGCCACACUGGGACUGAGACACGGCCCAGACUCCUACGGGAGGCAGCAGUGGGGAAUUUUGGACAAUGGGCGAAAGCCUGAUCCAGCCAUUCCGCGUGCAGGAUGAAGGCCCUCGGGUUGUAAACUGCUUUUGUACGGAACGAAAAGGCUCUUGCUAAUACCAGGAGUCCAUGACGGUACCGUAAGAAUAAGCACCGGCUAACUACGUGCCAGCAGCCGCGGUAAU
Molecule: ribosomal RNA, 501 nt
Filed under: uncultured bacterium
Lineage: Bacteria
Description: bacterial SSU rRNA
Rfam family: Bacterial small subunit ribosomal RNA
Source: RNAcentral